UCUCCCAUUACGCCACAAUCUUCACCCAGUGAUUAUCAUUCCCAAAUUCAAAGCCAACUGCCGCGUUCAGCGUACAGCAACCACCUGCCGUUUGGUCAGUCGACGGCUAGUGCGACACAACAACAACCGCUCUCAACAAAAAUGUAUCACUCCAGCGCCGGCUAUCCCGAUCUUACGGGCGGCGCGGCUGGCAAUAGUAGCUACCACCACCAACAGGCUAUGAAUGCGCCAGUCUAUGUGCCUUCCAAUCGCGCACUCACCCAAAGCCAAUACAAUCAUGUUGCGGCCCAUUUUGGCACCGCCGCAGCGCAGAACGCCUGGACCACCGACAGUUUUGGCACUGCGCAUGCCCAACUGCCAGCGCAAUUCUAUUCGAUGGGCUCGUGGCGCGCAGCCUACGAUCCUACCGGCUUUCAGCGCUCAUCCCCCUACGACAAUGCAAUUGACUUUCAGUUUGGUGAAGGACGUGAAUGUGUCAAUUGUGGUGCAAUCAGCACACCGCUUUGGCGACGCGACGGCACCGGCCAUUAUUUGUGCAACGCUUGCGGCCUCUAUCACAAGAUGAACGGCAUGAAUCGGCCGCUAAUCAAACCGAGCAAGCGACUGAUUUUAUCCUUGCAGACGGCCACAAGACGGCUGGGACUGUGCUGCACCAAUUGCGGUACGCGCACCACAACGCUUUGGCGGCGCAACAAUGAGGGUGAACCGGUGUGCAACGCCUGCGGACUCUACUUCAAGUUGCAUGGGGUCAAUCGGCCUUUAGCGAUGCGCAAGGAUGGCAUACAGACGCGCAAACGUAAGCCGAAAAAGUCCAACAGCUCGGCGGAUGUAUCAAAGGAUGGCAAAGAUGAUGACUCGAAGUCCUCACUCGCUUUGGAACGCCACAGCCUGCCUUCGUCUGUUGCGCUCACCGCCAAGCUGCAGUCCGAUUUGAGCCUGAAAGCCAACAGCAGUCUUAACAACUCACUUGCGGCCAUGAGCAGCGCUGUCGGUGGCAGCGGUAGUAUUAACAACAACAACUCCUUGCACAAUCUCAGCUUAAGCGCUCUCAGCGCCUCGCCAUCUUCCAGUAGCUCAUUGCACAACACACUCAGCCAUCACAUGCAUUUGUCGUCCGCAGCCGCGCAGCAGUCCCGUCAUUCCACCAUCUCGCAUACGCAUUCACACGCGCACGCGCAUGCCCACUCCUCCGCCGGUAGCACACCCACCGUGCACUCAGCCUCCACUGCCUCGUCGCUCAACUCAAACCUAUAUUCGCCGCAAAGCAAUGCAAGCAGCGCACAACUCUCCGCCUCCAGCUUCGGUUCGCACAGCAUCUCAAAGUACGAACACCUACUUGCGUCCGCUGGCAGCGGCGGCGGUGGCGGAGGUGGUGGUGGUGGUGGUAGCAUUGGCAAUCUCAACAACUCCUCCCCCAGCGCUGUCUCCCUAUCUAAUGGUAUUUCUGCCGGCACGCCAAGUCCCAGCUAUCAUCAUUCGGCGGCAGCGGCCGCGCAUCUGCAUCAUCAUCAUCAUCAUGCCGCGGCGGCGGCUCACCAUGCUGCUUCACAACACUCCGCGGCCGCUUUGGGUCAACACAGCGGCAGCUCGCACAUCGGCAGUGGCUCUGGUGACUCAACCACUGGUGGCGUUGGUGGUUAUAGUGUAAAGUCCGAAGCAAAUGCCAGUAAUUAUGAUUAUGUGAGUAACUGCUACUUCAGCGGCUCGUUUGCGCCCUUGAGCGCCUCCUCGGCGGCAGCUGCGGCUGGCAGCAGCAUGGGCAUGGGUAUGGGUGUGAGCGUCGGUAUGGGCGUUGGAAUGCAUGGCAUGCACGGUUCGGCCAGCGAAAUGGCCAGUUAUCACCAUCAGCACAAUGUCAUCCAGGCAGCCAAGUUGAUGGCCACAUCGUAAGGGUGAGCAAGGACUGAUGACUAGAUACAUACUCCGCAGUGAAGAUUCUAAAAAAAGUUUAACAAAAAGUAUCAAAAUACAACUUAGAUAUGUACUCUGAAUAUAAUUGUACAAAAAUCAUUUAAGCAACCAAAAUCGUUUAAGUUUGUAAAAAUGUUACCGAUAUAAUCAAUGUUUGCCGCCAUGGUUUUUAAGCAUCUCAUCUCGUUUUACUUAAUAAGAAAAAUAAAAUUAAUGACCUAGAAUCUCUCUAUACAUAUGUAUGUAUGUGUGUAUUUAACUUGAAAUAAGUCUGUAUUGAAAUUGUAAUUAGUGAAGGUCUAACUUAAGACCUGACUUGACUUAAAUUAAAUAAAUACGUAAUUAUAUGUAAGUGGAA
RNAcentral lists this unclassified non-coding RNA (2269 nucleotides) under Rhagoletis pomonella (apple maggot). RNAcentral's name for it is "gATA-binding factor A-like, transcript variant X3". The record is from RNAcentral. Lineage: Eukaryota; Metazoa; Arthropoda; Insecta; Diptera; Tephritidae.